GAUGAACGCUGGCGGCGUGCCUAAUACAUGCAAGUCGAGCGAACAGAUAAGGAGCUUGCUCCUUUGACGUUAGCGGCGGACGGGUGAGUAACACGUGGGUAACCUACCUAUAAGACUGGGAUAACUUCGGGAAACCGGAGCUAAUACCGGAUAAUAUUUCGAACCGCAUGGUUCGAUAGUGAAAGAUGGUUUUGCUAUCACUUAUAGAUGGACCCGCGCCGUAUUAGCUAGUUGGUAAGGUAACGGCUUACCAAGGCGACGAUACGUAGCCGACCUGAGAGGGUGAUCGGCCACACUGGAACUGAGACACGGUCCAGACUCCUACGGGAGGCAGCAGUAGGGAAUCUUCCGCAAUGGGCGAAAGCCUGACGGAGCAACGCCGCGUGAGUGAUGAAGGUCUUCGAAUCGUAAAACUCUGUUAUUAGGGAAGAACAUACGUGUAAGUAACUGUGCACGUCUUGACGGUACCUAAUCAGAAAGCCACGGCUAACUACGUG
This 497-nucleotide ribosomal RNA is filed under the name uncultured bacterium. RNAcentral describes it as "partial 16S ribosomal RNA". It matches the Rfam family "Bacterial small subunit ribosomal RNA", at positions 28 to 507 of the family's 1533-position model. The record is from RNAcentral.